UUUGUGUACCUACCUCUGUUGCUUUGGCGGGCCGCGGUCCUCCGCGGCCGCCCCCCUCCCCGGGGGGGUGGCCAGCGCCCGCCAGAGGACCAUCAAACUCCAGUCAGUAAACGAUGCAGUCUGAAAAACAUUUAAUAAACUAAAACUUUCAACAACGGAUCUCUUGGUUCUGGCAUCGAUGAAGAACGCAGCGAAAUGCGAUAAGUAAUGUGAAUUGCAGAAUUCAGUGAAUCAUCGAAUCUUUGAACGCACAUUGCGCCCUUUGGUAUUCCGAAGGGCAUGCCUGUUCGAGCGUCAUUACAACCCUCAAGCUCUGCUUGGUAUUGGGCACCGUCCUUUGCGGGCGCGCCUCAAAGACCUCGGCGGUGGCGUCUUGCCUCAAGCGUAGUAGAACAUACAUCUCGCUUCGGAGCGCAGGGCGUCGCCCGCCGGACGAACCUUCUGAACUUUUCUCAAGGUUGACCUCGGAUCAGGUAGGGAUACCCGCUGAACUUAAGCAUAU
This 502-nucleotide ribosomal RNA is filed under the name Botryosphaeria dothidea. RNAcentral's name for it is "eukaryotic LSU rRNA". The stretch from base 144 to 297 matches the Rfam family "5.8S ribosomal RNA". Lineage: Eukaryota; Fungi; Ascomycota; Dothideomycetes; Botryosphaeriales; Botryosphaeriaceae. The record is from RNAcentral.